RNAcentral lists this transfer RNA (66 nucleotides) under Allogalathea elegans. RNAcentral's name for it is "tRNA-Cys". It matches the Rfam family "tRNA". Rfam says of the family: Transfer RNA (tRNA) molecules are approximately 80 nucleotides in length. Their secondary structure includes four short double-helical elements and three loops (D, anti-codon, and T loops). Lineage: Eukaryota; Metazoa; Arthropoda; Malacostraca; Decapoda; Galatheidae. The record is from RNAcentral.
GGCUUUAUAGUGGAAAAAAAGACAUUAGGUUGCAAACCUGAAGAUGUAAUAGAAUUACUAAGGCUU